This 1422-nucleotide ribosomal RNA is filed under the name Isthmohyla pseudopuma (Gunter's Costa Rican treefrog). RNAcentral describes it as "partial 16S ribosomal RNA". It matches the Rfam family "Bacterial large subunit ribosomal RNA", at positions 377 to 2597 of the family's 2925-position model. The record is from RNAcentral. Lineage: Eukaryota; Metazoa; Chordata; Amphibia; Anura; Hylidae.
ACUAAAAACCUAGCCCCCCACAUCCCGAUGAAUCGCUAUAUUUUAUCUUUUAAACUAAAACAUUCUUACACCUUAGUAAAGGCGAUUGAAAAGCUACUAGGAGCUAUACAAAUAGUACCGCAAGGGAAAGGUGAAAUAAAAAUGAAAUAAUUUUUAAGUACAAGAUAGUAGAGACCUGCCCUCGUACCUUUUGCAUCAUGGUUUAACUAGUCAAAUUAAGCAAAAUGUCUUAUAGUUUAACUUCCCGAAACUAGGCGAGCUACUUCAGGGCAGCUUAUUGAGCUAACCCGUCUCUGUUGCAAAAGAGUGGGGUGACCUUCAAGUAGGGGUGACAGACCUAACGAGCCUAGUGAUAGCUGGUUAUUCAGGAAAAGGAUUUAAGUCCAACCUAAAGUUUGCCGAAUACAACUAAAUAAUAAAGCUCACUUUAGAGCAAUUCAAAUAAGGUACAGCCUAUUUGAAACAGGAUACAACCUCUUAAGGUGGGUAAUUAUAUUCCAUGAUAAUUAAGUAGGCCUAAAAGCAGCCACCUUUAAAAUAGCGUCAAAGCUUCAUUAUCCCCUUUCUACAAUUCCUUUAAUAUUACAGAACCCUCUAUUAGUACUGAAUACUUCCAUACUCGUAUGGAAUAUUUUAUGUUAAAACUAGUAACAAGAAGAAGACCUUCACUACAAUGUAAGUGUAAAUCAGGUAGGACAUGCCACUGAUCAUUAACACGUAUGCAGAAAAAUUAAUAACUUUACAAGAAAAACUUAAUUUCCUUUAUGUUAACCUAACACAAGAACAUUGCAAGUAAGAUUAAAAGAAAAAGAAGGAACUCGGCAAAUAUUAACCUCGCCUGUUUACCAAAAACAUCGCCUCUUGACAACUAUAAGAGGUCCAGCCUGCCCAGUGACCCUGUUCAACGGCCGCGGUAUCCUAACCGUGCGAAGGUAGCGUAAUCACUUGUUCUUUAAAUGAGGACUAGUAUGAAUGGCAUCACGAGGGUUAUACUGUCUCCUUUUUCUAAUCAGUGAAACUAAUCUCCCCGUGAAGAAGCGGGGAUGAGUAUAUAAGACGAGAAGACCCUAUGGAGCUUUAAACUAAAUGACACCUGCUUUUAAUUUUUACUCUCCCGAGUACUUACAUUUAUUUCAGCCUUUUGAUUAUUAGUUUUAGGUUGGGGUGACCACGGAGCAAAAAACAGCCUCCACGUUGGACGGGGUUAAUCCCCUGAGCCGCGAGCUACAUCUCCACGCACCAAUAAAUUGACAUAAAUUGACCCAAUAUAUUGAUCAACGAACCAAGUUACCCUAGGGAUAACAGCGCAAUCCGCUUCAAGAGCUCCUAUCGACAAGCGGGUUUACGACCUCGAUGUUGGAUCAGGGUAUCCCAGUGGUGCAGCCGCUACUAAAGGUUCGUUUGUUCAACGAUUAAAACCCU